ACGUCGACGACUCUCGCUUGUCUGAAGAAUAUUAUGGCCAAGUCCAACUUAUCAUCCUACAAUUACAUGCCUAAUCUGCAACAAAUUGAGACGAUGGUUCAAGCUUACUCUCCUUAUAUUUACUUGCAUCCUGACGAAAAAUACCUUCCGUCUUCUGUAAGCUGGUAUUUUGACAACGGGGCAUUACUAUACAGAAAGGGAGAGGAGUCUAAACCAAUCCCAAUUGAGCCGAUGGGUUCGAAUCUUCCACAAGGAGGCUCCAAUGAUGGUGCCUAUUGGUUGGACCUUCCUGUAAAUGACAAGGCCAAAGAGCGAGUCAAGAAAGGAGACCUACAAAACUCACAGGUUUAUUUACACAUUAAACCCAUGCUGGGAGCAACCUACACUGACAUAGCAAUAUGGAUCUUCUACCCUUUUAAUGGACCUGCGAGAGCUAAAGUUAAGUUUAUUAAUAAUAUCCCAUUGGGAAAGAUAGGUGAACAUGUUGGUGACUGGGAGCAUGUGACAUUAAGGAUCAGCAACUUCAAUGGGGAACUGUGGAGGGUCUUCUUGUCGCAGCAUAGUGGAGGUACUUGGGUGAAUGCAUCAGAGCUUGAGUUUCAAAGUGGCAACAAACCUGUGACCUAUGCGUCCUUAAAUGGUCAUGCCAUGUAUGCAAAGCCUGGACUAGUUUUACAAGGGAGUGGCGGGAUUGGAAUUAGGAAUGAUACAGCCAAGAGCAGGAUGCUGCUGGAUACUGGACGUCAUUUUUCAAUUGUUGCUGCUGACUAUUUAUCGGGCUCUGCCUCCGUUAUCACUGAGCCACCUUGGCUCAACUAUUUUAGAGAGUGGGGUCCCAAAAUUAGUUAUGACAUUUCCCACGAGAUAAAAGAGAUUGAGAAAUUAUUGCCUGGAAAGCUGAAGCCUGCUUUUCAAAAGUUUGUCAACAGUCUACCAAAUGAAGUCUUGGGAGAGGAAGGCCCGACAGGUCCCAAAGCCAAAAGCAAUUGGAAUGGAGAUGAAGUUUAAUCGAAGCUGUCUGUGUGUGUGUAUACAUACAUACAUACAUACAUACAUAUAUAUAUAUAUAUAUUUAUAUCAAAAUUUGUUUAUAAAGGAACUUUUUUUAAAGUGGGAUCAAUUGCCCACACUCCCUUGAAUGUAAAUCCGCCCUUAUAUAUAUUCAGUUAGAUUUCAGUUUGUACACAUAUUGUUCAAUAAUGAUUGAUAUAUGUAUAUAUGUGUUUAUGCAAGCAUGUCGCAGGUGAAGGGUUUGGGAGUGGAACAAUUGAUCUUGGUGGAUUACAAGUGCGUCAAAUAACAUCUUUCAAGAAAAUUUGGGCCACCCAUGAAGGUGGACCAGAUAAUGCUGGCACUACAUUUUUUGAACCAUCAACCAUAGAUAUCCCUCCAGGUUUCUUUAUGCUUGGCUGCUACGCCCAACCCAACAACACCCCUCUUUUCGGAUGGGUUCUUGCUGCUAAAGACAGCAGUGGUUUAAGCUUAAAGAAGCCUGUUGAUUACACUCUUGUUUGGAGCAGCGAGUCUUUGAAGAUCAAGCAAGAUGGGGUCGCCUACGUCUGGCUACCCACACCCCCCGAUGGGUACAAAAACGUUGGUCAUGCCAUUACAAACUUCCCUGAGAAGCCUGCCUUGGAUAAGAUGCGCUGCGUUCGGUCUGACUUCACUGAUCAAUGCCAGACAGACACGUGGAUAUGGGGUGCAAACAAGUAUGGGCUCAAUGUCUUUUCCGUUAGGCCCAGUGUUAGAGGAACCGAAGAAAUGGGUGUUAGUGUAGGCACGUUUGCGGCCCAGAUUAAUGGAAAUGAUAAUAGUCCUACUACGUCGACGACUCUCGCUUGUCUGAAGAAUAUUAUGGCCAAGUCCAACUUAUCAUCCUACAAUUACAUGCCUAAUCUGCAACAAAUUGAGACGAUGGUUCAAGCUUACUCUCCUUAUAUUUACUUGCAUCCUGACGAAAAAUACCUUCCGUCUUCUGUAAGCUGGUAUUUUGACAACGGGGCAUUACUAUACAGAAAGGGAGAGGAGUCUAAACCAAUCCCAAUUGAGCCGAUGGGUUCGAAUCUUCCACAAGGAGGCUCCAAUGAUGGUGCCUAUUGGUUGGACCUUCCUGUAAAUGACAAGGCCAAAGAGCGAGUCAAGAAAGGAGACCUACAAAACUCACAGGUUUAUUUACACAUUAAACCCAUGCUGGGAGCAACCUACACUGACAUAGCAAUAUGGAUCUUCUACCCUUUUAAUGGACCUGCGAGAGCUAAAGUUAAGUUUAUUAAUAAUAUCCCAUUGGGAAAGAUAGGUGAACAUGUUGGUGACUGGGAGCAUGUGACAUUAAGGAUCAGCAACUUCAAUGGGGAACUGUGGAGGGUCUUCUUGUCGCAGCAUAGUGGAGG
This 2390-nucleotide long non-coding RNA is filed under the name Citrus sinensis (sweet orange). RNAcentral's name for it is "long non-coding RNA (CSIN_LNC002767)". The record is from RNAcentral. Lineage: Eukaryota; Viridiplantae; Streptophyta; Magnoliopsida; Sapindales; Rutaceae.